This 301-nucleotide ribosomal RNA is filed under the name uncultured bacterium. RNAcentral describes it as "partial 16S ribosomal RNA". It matches the Rfam family "Bacterial small subunit ribosomal RNA", at positions 509 to 807 of the family's 1533-position model. The record is from RNAcentral.
CAGCCGCCGCGGUAAUACGAAGGGUGCAAGCGUUAAUCGGAAUUACUGGGCGUAAAGCGUGCGUAGGCGGUGAGUUAAGUCUGCUGUGAAAUCCCCGGGCUCAACCUGGGGAUGGCAGUGGAUACUGGCUCGCUAGAGUGUGUCAGAGGAUGGUGGAAUUCCCGGUGUAGCGGUGAAAUGCGUAGAGAUCGGGAGGAACAUCAGUGGCGAAGGCGGCCAUCUGGGACAACACUGACGCUGAGGCACGAAAGCGUGGGGAGCAAACAGGAUUAGAUACCCCCGUAGUCCCUGUCUCUUAUAC